RNAcentral lists this ribosomal RNA (819 nucleotides) under uncultured eukaryote. Its description in RNAcentral is "SSU rRNA". It matches the Rfam family "Eukaryotic small subunit ribosomal RNA", at positions 629 to 1426 of the family's 1831-position model. The record is from RNAcentral.
CGGUGUUUAACUGGCGUGAUGUGGGACGUCCUACCGGUGGGCUUAGCCUCGCGAGGGGCGGCCCAACUAAUAUCCCGUCGCGGUGCUCUUUACUGAGUGUCGAGUCGGGCCGGUACGUUUACUUUGAACAAAUUAGAGUGCUUAAAGCAGGCUAUCCUCGCCUGAAUACUGCGUGCAUGGAAUAAUGGAAUAAGACCUCGGUUCUAUUUUGUUGGUUUUCGGAACCCCGAGGUAAUGAUUAAUAGGGACAGAUGGGGGCAUUCGUAUUGCGACGUUAGAGGUGAAAUUCUUGGAUCGUCGCAAGACGGACAGAAGCGAAAGCAUUUGCCAAAAAUGUUUUCAUUAAUCAAGAACGAAAGUUAGAGGUUCGAAGGCGAUCAGAUACCGCCCUAGUUCUAACCAUAAACGAUGCCAGCUAGCGAUCCGCCGAAGUUCCUCCGAUGACUCGGCGGGCAGCUUCCGGGAAACCAAAGCUUUUGGGUUCCGGGGGAAGUAUGGUUGCAAAGCUGAAACUUAAAGGAAUUGACGGAAGGGCACCACCAGGAGUGGAGCCUGCGGCUUAAUUUGACUCAACACGGGAAACCUCACCAGGCCCAGACACCGGAAGGAUUGACAGAUUGAUAGCUCUUUCUUGAUUCGGUGGGUGGUGGUGCAUGGCCGUUCUUAGUUGGUGGAGCGAUUUGUCUGGUUAAUUCCGAUAACGAACGAGACUCUAGCCUGCUAAAUAGGCGUACCUUAUGGUAUCGCGAAGGCCCCCGGCUUCGGCCGGUGGGUUUUUACUACCAACGUACAAACAAAUCUUUUUAGAGGGACAGGCGG